UGUUUUUAGCGUAUUACCCUAACCUAUAUUAGGGCCUGGGGUAGGGAGUUACAAGAUUGUCUCAUUCAUAUCUUUCUCGAUUUUGCAUGGAUGUUGGUUAUAUCGUAGCCUAUAUUACACGAACCCAUUCAUUUUCUCUAAGUACCUAUAUUUAACACUUAUGUUUGAUACAUAUCUAGAUAUGUAUAUAAAGGGAUUACAUCAGUUUCGACUGAAUAAGUUUGUUUGAACAGACUUUAUAAAAGGGAUUACAUCAGUUUGGGUCAGAUAAAUUGAUUUGAAUAGACUUUUAUGCAUUCCUAGUGAGGGAGGAUUUAGUGAUAACUUCAAUUAUUAUGUAUUAAAUGGAUAAAUCUAAUUCAGAAUAAAACUUGAGAUUUAGUUAUUUCGUGCAAUUUGUCUUUAAGAGCAUUUAUUUCAGAAUUUUGAUUGUAAGGUUAUAACAUUCUCGCUGUAAAAUAGAGGUGAACAUUUGAUAAUUUCAUUCUAAUCAUAAUUGUGCACCAAUUAUAAAGUCAGAGGAAAAUUGCGCACCAGUCAAAUGGAAUUUGCUUCAAUCUAUCCUCUAUUUAAGUUAGAGGAAAAGAUGGUCCAGAUGAGAUUAUACUUGAAUUAGAAUGAAUUCAUUAUUCAUGUCACGUUAAUAUCAUUAAGUUAUCGGUUUAAUCAACAUUUGCGAUAAAAAAUCCAUAAUUUGACUCAAAAUAAAAUGUUGAGGGUUAAAUUGUUGAAAAGAAAAAAAAUAAGGGUCAAAUUGUUAAAAUUUAUAAACUCUAAGAACCUGCCUAGUUUAAAAGGUUUUAUUGACAUUACAAUUAGAUUACUAUUUGAAUUUACAUUUUGCGAACAACAAAUUGAAGAAAUUUCAUUUAAAAUAAUAUAAUUUACAUUACAUUAUAUGUAAAAAAACAACUAAUUAUAUAUUAACAUAAUCUAUAUCAAAUUUUAAUUCUCAAAAUUCAUCCGAGCAUAUAAUCUCCCUAAAAUUUACAUUUUUAGACUUUUUUAUUUUUAAAAUUUAAAAUUAGUAAAAGUAAAAUUACACUUUAAUCUCAUUAAUAAAAAAAAUUUGAUUCAAUUAUUUUAAAUUUAUAGAGAUACAAACUAUUCAAAUAAUUAAAUUAUAUUUUUAUUAUCGUACAAAUUAUUAUUUAAUUUUGAUUUUCCUAAAAAUUCUCAAAAUUCUUUCGAGCAUAUAAUUGUGUAAGUGUCUACUUCCAUUUUAACUUGAUAACCUUUGUUGGUCCUUCACUUGCACGAUCCUUUGAGCAGACUUUCAUGUUUUUAUCGGUCUAAGGGAUAAACAUAAAACACCAAGAUUAUUUUUGUUGCAUUGAGAUAAUCUAUAUCACUGGUAUAUUAAAUUACUUCAAAUCGAGAAUUUUUUCUUAAUAUCACAGAAAAUACAAUCGUUGAAAAUCUUGCACACGUCAAACAAGGAUAAAAAAUGAAUCUAUUGAAAUUUAAAAAAUAUAUUGGAUAUGAAUAUGUUUCUCACAUAGAAAAUUUUUCCAAUUAAUUAAAAGAGUAUACUUUAUAUUCAUAUUUGAAUAAGUGUUAAAAAUAAAUGUCUAAACAUAAAUACUUUAUAAUAAAUAUAAAAUAAAGAGUUGGAAUAAUAUUAUUUGUACUUCAAGCCAUGAAAUUUAAAUGCUACUUUUAUUAAAAGGAAUUAAAUCUAUUUAAAUACUAUUAAGGACUUAAAUUUAAUCUUUCAAAUGUAUAAAAACAAUUUUGAUAUAUUAAAUUGAACACAUAAAUAGAUCUCAAAUAAAAAUGAUGAUUUUUAACUCAAGUGAAAUUAUAAUCUAAUCCUCAUUUGAGGAUUUUCACAUUUUUAUUACGUGCUUUGUUAUGGAAGAUAUUCUUUUUUCUCCCCAUUUUUGUCACAAAUUGAUUAUGUUUACUUCAGCUUAGCAAUAAAAUAUAGAUAUAAGUGAAAAUAGAAAUUUAAUUAAAAAAAUGAAACUAAUAUAAAAGUAGACAUUUAAAUAAAACUAAUGUAAAUGUAGAUAUUUCAUGAAUUACGAAUGAAGUGACAAAUUUUUAAUGGUAUAAAAACCUAUGUUAUCAAUAUUUGCAAUAUGCAUAGAAUAUGCACUCAUGUUCAAUAUGAGUAUGAAUAAAGAUUUUAAAAUUUUUUGAUAUAUAAUAGAAGGAUCAUAUCUCUCGUUAGUGAAUAAAUUUAGAAUGAUAACUUUAAAUGAAAUAAAAACUACAAACAAGAUAGAUGUGUAAAAUAAAAAAAAAUCAAUAGGACGUUGGUUAGGUAGUUUACCACAGUUAAUGCUUCUUCCCCUAUUGGCCCACCAUAAAAUUAAAAAAUUUCUGCAUCCGUUUUGGUUGCGGCCCUUCUUCCUCCGCUUCAUCGUAGAUAUCAGCUUUUCGUUUUAUGUGAGAAGUGCUAUCUGUUGAUCCAUCGUUGUGAGCAGAGUGUUGAUGGAUGUGUUCAAAAUUUGGAGAAGAUUGAGUGGUAUGGCACUGCAACUCUUUUAUUUCUUCCAAAUCUUUCUCAUGCACUAUUCUAACACCACACUUCUUCACCUUAACACAGCCUUCAAAUGGAUGUGCGAAAGACACCUCAAGCUCAUCCCAUUUCUGAUCUAAGCAAUCUGUUGCCCAUAAAUUAUUGGUUUCACAAUGACCAUAUUUAUCCUCCAUGGAAAUUGGAUAUAGUUCAUCACGCGACCAAUAACGAAGAAAAAGGUGAUCUUUCAUGAUGGGUCCGUUAUAUCCUUUACCCACAAACCAGCCGCUCCAAUCAAUCUGUCUACGAUUUCUACCUCGAAAAAUAGAUCCAUCACAGCUGGCUUGUUCAGAAUUUCUGCAAUAGAUAAAUGCAUCACAACUGAUAUCCUCGUUAUGCCUUGAAGCAUCAUUACUGAUAAAAAUGCAGCAAGAAGCAACUCCAAUCCAUUGACUAUCUUUCCGAAGGGGUAUCUUAAUUGAAGAGUCAUUUUUUUGUUGGCUAAACCAUUCUGGGAUUUCACUUCCGGGCAUAAAAAUGGUAAACUUUUUUGUUGAAUUUGCAGAUGCCUGCAAAAUAAAACACAAGUCGUUUGGUAACUAAAACCAUAAAUUCUCAAGUAUGAGAUUUUGUAAGGGAGAAUAAAGAGAUUAAUCGACCUUAAGAUAUUUUUUCAGCAGUGUUAAUGCAUUGAUAUUCUCAGCCAAUUUGAAGCAGUUAAUGGCUAUAGUGUAAUCCCCAUCCACUAAAUUGCGCACUUUUGAGGGUCUUGCAACUACUUCAAGUGAAGAAAAACCAUCUAUAAGCACAUCUGUUGGAAGCUCAGGCAACGAUUUAAGCAUCUUGCAAUUUGAUAAUCGAAGGAAAUUAAGCCUGCAAAGUUGAGUAAGAGCCAAAGGAAUGGUGAUGAAAUUGUUACCCCCAAGAUUAAGAGAACUCAAAGAGGAUAGACCAUGAAUAUCUGCUUCACCAAGAGUGCACAUGUUGCAAUUUGACAAGUUAAGAACCUCAAGCUUCGAGAGCCGAGUAAGAGAUGCAGGUAUGCUGAUGAAAUUGUUACCACAAGAUCAAGACAUAUCAAAGAGGAUAGACCAGAAAUAUCACGUGGAAUAUCUCCUUCACAAAGAUUGCAGUGCCCUAGAUUUAGUCUUCUUAAUGAACUCAAACCUGACAACAAAGGCAACACCGGAGCUAUGGGAUUCGUCCUUCUUCCUUGGAUUACCUUGAAAAUAAAAGGCAAAUUUGGUCGUGACUUAUAUGAUGGUCCCUUGCAUCCACUGAAAGACAAAACUUUAAGAUUUUUCAAUUGAGAAAUGAAGGAUGAUGGUUCUUUUAUGGCUGUUUCACUCAAGUCAAGCUCUUCCAAAGAUUCUGCUUGCUGCAAAUUCUCUGGUAAAUAUUCAACUUUGAAACAACCAGAAAGAUGAAGAGUUUUUAGAUGUUCUAUUUUCCCAUCAAUCUCUGGAAACCUUGCAAGAUUUGAGCAACCUGAAAGAAUUAAUGUUUCAAGAGAUUCCAUUCCAAUUUUGGUUGGAAGACUCCUAAGACUUUUGCAGUCUCUUAAAUUCAAAAGUUUAAGGCUCUUAAGCACUCCGAUUGAUGGAUGGACAUCUACUAAUCUGGUACAACCUUCCAUAAUCAAAGCUUCAAGUUUUGGUGCUGUUGUGAAGUCAGGUGUCUUGAUCAGGUUUUGGGACCCUUUGAGGUUGAUCAUUUUCAACUUCAACAAGGGCUGUUGAAGACAAUAAUAAAUUAGGCCGAAGACAUAAUAAUGCUAAUUUUUGUUUCGCUUUUUACCUUAAUCCAAGUUUAAUCAUUUAUAUUAAAAUAAGCAAAAACACAAGGAUAAGAUGAGUUAGUUCUUACUCUAUUCCCCUUCCAUAGUUGCUCAAUAUGACUAUAUGGUAAAAGAAGUGCAACAAGAUUAUCUGGGUGGAAGUUUGAAGGCAAAAAUCUUAAAGGAUAUCCUGUCCAAUCUAAAAGCCGUAGUUCACUAGAAAGAUAUUUGAGAUCAUCACAAUUUGAUACGCUAAACACUUUGAGCAAUCUCAAAUUUUUCAUCUUUGAGAAGGUAUCGGCGGUCAAAUUGAACAUUUUGCUCGAUUCCCUAAUAAUCAUGAGUAAAACAAAAAUGAGCUUCAAAAUAUACAAAAACAUUCAAUAUCUAAAAGCUAUGUUGCAUCGAGAUUUUUUUAUGUACCCACACAUCCAGUACUUACAUGUAAUGCGUAUAUGAAUAUGGUAUUGCGAUAUAAUUGAAUAUAUUAGACAAUACUUAAUCUAACACUUUUUUCACACUUGUAAUUACCUAUGCCUAAAAAACCUAGAACUAAUAUUUUUAUUUAUGUUUAGUGCUUUGAUGUGUAAUUCUAUACUGGCAUUAUUUGGAUUUACUUUUGAAAACUUUUAAUGAUAUGUUAUGGCCUAGUUCAUUGAUAUAUACUGUCAUUACAUCAUAUAUAGACCAUUAAUAUUAACAAAGAUAAUGACAUUAAUUUUUUUAUAAUUUCUUUUGAAAGAGUAAUGUGUUUCUUUAUAAAUUUCAUGAAUAUAAAAUUAAACAUUAUGAAUGUGUUUGGUUGGGUGAAAAAGUAAAGGGAUAAGAGAAUGAAGUAUGCUUGGUAAAAAAAAAAAGUUGAGAAGAAAAAAGAAAGAAAGAGAUGAUCAUUUACGUGUAUGUUUCCCUACCAUUUAUUGUCGAUGAUCAUGCCUUCAACCAUUUUGGUAGCCUAGAAAUAAUCAAGAAUACAAUAAGAAGAUAAAAUAAAUACACUAAAUUGUACGAUAAAACUUUUGAAAAUUUACAUACAUGUUCAACAUUAUCACAAUCUUUUGGUUCGAAUAUAGUAAAUAAAAUAUUUUGUUCAAUAAAAUUAAAGCUACUCAAUGUCACUUAAGGAUCUAUAUAUAAACUAGUUAGACUAAGCUUUGGAUUUACAUCAUAUAUUAAUAAAAGAAAUUUUUGUAUGUAAUUUUUGUUGAAUGAUUUACCGUGUUUUUUGUUAAGAUAUGAUGGACAUCCCUUUCUUUCCAUAAUCUACAACGUUUUCCAGGUUCAUCAGCACAUUUUUCUUCAACCAUUUUUCUUCCCAUUUCUUGCAACAAGGCAUGCAUCCACAAAUAUUUGUUAUCAUCAUCGACUUUUAUGAGAGAUUUCUUAAUAAGAACAUCGAUUCCAAUAUCUGGAAAAAACCCACAACCAUCCAAUACUUUCAUUACCAAAUCUUUCUCCUCCCCAUUGAAAAAGCAUGCUAUAUCUAGAAAUAUAUUCUUCUCCUUUUCUUCCAAUCCAUCAAAGCUAAUUCUUAGUGUGUCAAGAAUUUUUUUGUUAGAAUCUUGUUUAAGGCUUUCGAUUGCACUUCUCCAUUGAACUAUAUCUCUACCACACAAAAAUGAACCCAAAACUUCAAGAGCUAAGGGAAGGCCACCGGCAUAAUGUACAACAUGUUCAGAAAGCUCAAUGAAAUCAACUUUCGGCGUUGUAUCACCGUCAAAAGCUUUCAAAUUGAAAAGCCUUAGUGCAUCGUUGGGAUUCAAUAUUGUAGGCUUAUACACAUCAUUGAUUCGAUAAGAUCGGAGCAAAUGUUCAUCUCUCGUUGUUACAAUGAUCCUACUCCCUAAAUUGAACCAAUCACGCCUUCCAACCAAGCAUUUCAAGUGUUGUAUGUUAUCAACAUCAUCAAGAACAACAAGAAGCUUUUUACUAGACAACCGGUGGCUGAUUAUGGCAUUCCCUUCAUGAACAUUGAAAAAAUUGAAGCAUUCAUCCGGAAAGAUCUGAGAAAGAAGUUGUUUCUGUAAAGAAACAAGUCCAUGUUUGUUUGAAACUUCUCGAAUAUCAGCAAGAAAGCAUUUACCUUCAAAAUGAGGUAACAUUUGAGUGUAAGCAACCCUCGCAAGAGUUGUUUUACCGAUGCCACCCAUUCCGCAAAUUCCUAUAAUGCGGAAAUCGUCUUCCCCAAUAUUUAUUUUCGAAUACAACUCCUCCAAAUGUAAACUAAUUCCAACCAACUCAUCAUGAACAACUGGAUAUGUCUGACAUAAUUUUGCUGAUAUCUUCUUAACAACGUCUCUAAUAAACUCUGAUUCGUGCCUACAAUGAAAUUAAAAUCCGAUAUGCACUUUUUCAUUUUUAGUUUAGUGAAUCAUGAAGUAUAAUAUGGUUGGAAGCAAACAAAAAGUACGAAUAAGACAGUAAGAUACAUUAUAGCAUNNNNNNNNNNNNNNNNNNNNNNNNNNNNNNNNNNNNNNNNNNNNNNNNNNNNNNNNNNNNNNNNNNNNNNNNNNNNNNNNNNNNNNNNNNNNNNNNNNNNAAAAAUAACAUGCAAUCCAAUAAAAAAAACAAUUUUUUAGUCAUUAAAAUUAGGAAAUAGAGAAGAUAAGAAAGAAAUACCUAUUAUUUAAAUGCCAUCCCUUGAUGUUAGCCACUUCAGUCAAAGCAUUUCGCCACUUUUGGAUCUUGUCUUUAUCUUCCUUGUAUCUUUCUUCGUGUUUGGCAAAGGCUUCUUCAACUUUUUCUUUUUGUUUUCUUAAAUCGGAUGGAUCAACAUGGUAGAAAAUUGGAAAAACUUUAUGACCCUUGUCAUUUUUUUGUUUAACAAUCUCCGCAAGCUCCUCCAAGCACCAACCUGAAAAGGCAUAGGUCUCAGAAAAACGAUUACGGAGCACCAUGAUUGCUGAAUUGCGUUGUAAGAGUUCCGGUGCGAUCUCUUCACCAGUUUCCAACUUUGGAUCAUCUCUAAAAGUGACGAUCCCAGUUCUAUUUAGAGCAUCGUAGAGAUGAUCCGUAAAAUUCUUGCGAGUAUCUUCACCUCUAAAACUCAAGAACACAUCGUAUUUCUUUCUAGAAAUGGACGAGGAAGUCGAAAGUAACGACGACAUGAGGAUGUAUGAGAAGAAAAAUAUGUGGAUGUAGUGUUCAAAAUCAGUCGCUCAAUACCUCAGAAACAAUAAGUAUAUGAGCAUGAAGGGAGAAAAACAGAAGAAAUUUCGAGGGAAGAACAAAGGGAGUAGGUGAAUCUAUCAGUAUAAUAAUAUCUAUGAAAGGAAGUAGGUGUGGAAAUUCGGGGUCAUAGAUGCUCUUUCCGGGUAGACUCCAAGAAGUGUUGGAACAAUGGCAGCAGCAAAAAGAAAACAAAGUUGCAAAACAGAAUUUGCAAAACUGAAGCAAGAAGUAUCGAAGCAAAAGAAAUCAAAGCAAAGCAAAAACAGUGAACAAAAUUGAAUACUCAGCAAAUUGUAACUAAACAUUUACUUUUUUUCAUUCAAAAUUUGAAUAUAUAAAAGAGUUACAAAUUUGAUUCAUUUGACAGUUACCUAAUGACAUAACUGCUCCCACUUAAACUAAACUAAUACAAGCUUAAGUCAAAUACAAAAUAAGCUGACAUAUCAGCUUUUACAUCAUCAAUCCAAUCACAAACUUAAUCCAACUAACUUUGGAAACUAGUUAAAGUUGAACUAAACUAAAUUACAAAAGAACAAAACAUCCAAAGUUGAUUGCUUCAUCUGGUUCAGCUUCAGUCUUGCACACCAAGCAUUAUCACCAAGCUCGACAGCCAACCAUGCUGCUGGCCACAUGUUGCUUUGCAGUCCAGCUUUCAACAAGAAGGUGAGAGUUCACAAAAUGCAGCCUACAAUUUUUCUGAAAAUUAAAUUCAUUAAUUUAUUCAGAACCAUAUAAUUCAGGCGAAAGAAAAUAAUAAAUACUCAUAGUAGAUGAUGAAUAAUAAACUUUAUCAACACAAUAAAAGCUUUAGCCUUAACAUCAAUAGAACAUCAUGACACGUUAACAAUUAAUUUUGUUAUAACUCAAGUACGACAUAUUUGGAGUAAUUGUAAACACUUAAUACGAUAAAGAAAUCAACCUCGGAUGGUGCAAAGUGACGAGCAAACAAAACAAUCGAACAUUCACCAAAUUAGAGAGGACGACAAUAAAAUCUUCUCUAAAAUCACUUAUAAAACUAAGAUUAUAUGCAUAAAUACACUUAUUAAAUAAUUAAAAAAAAUGUAAAACUUAACAACACGAAAAUAAAUCCUACAAUUAUUAUCAAGUAACGUGUUGGACGGUUUGUGUUUUACUUUUUAUUUUUAUAUUAUCAUAUCUACUUUAUAAUCAGUAGCUUAUGUUACAUAUGUGAUUUUACGCAUUUAAUAUUUGAUUAAUUUUUUUAAUUAUUAUACCUUUAAUUGAAGUAAUUAAUAUAAAAUAAUAUUUUUGUUUAAAUUAUUAAAUAUAUGUAAAUAUAUUAAUUUAUCAAUUCAAACAAAUAUUAUAAUAGAAAAUUUUUAAAUAAUAAUUAAAUAAUUUUUAACAUAUUCAACAUAUAUUAUAGUUUUCCUUUAUGUAGCUAAUGCAAUGUAAUAUUACUCAAAAUAAUAACUACUUAACAUAAUUGUCAGCAACCUCUUGGCCUAUUUACAAAAGCUUAGUUUUGUAGGUAUGAGAGUUUAGGUUUAAUCUUAAGCAAUCUCAUUUUUCUCCCUCAAAUAUAUAUAAAAAAACCGAGCACAAUAAACUCUAAUAAUAAUUAAGUGAUAAUUAUAAUGAUAAUUUUAAAUUUAGUAAUAGAAAAAAAUAAAUAUCUUUUUCAAACUCGUUGUUAUAUAUUAAGUAUUAAAAUUGUGUUUUACGUGUCAUAGCAAUUCACCACCAUUUGAUCUUAUCUUUUAUCUUCCUUGUACCUUUCUUCGUGUUUGGUGAAGGCUUCUUCAACUUUUUCUUUGUUUUCUUAAAUCGGAUGAGCCUUAGAUGUUCUUUCCGAGAAGACUCCAAGAAGGCGAGAGUUGUUGUUAAUAUUUAUAGAGUUUUUCUUGGUUUAAAUGUGCCAGAAGUCCCUGCAUUUUUUAUAAAAUUAAAAUUUAAUUCCUGUACAAUUAAUCACUAAAUUAUGGAUAAAUUUUUGCAUGUAUCUUCAUCUCUAAAACUCAAAAAAACAUAAUAUUUCUUUCUAGACAUGGAUGAGGAAUUCGAAAGUGAUGAUGACAUGACGAUUUAUGAGAAGAAAAAUAUAUAUGGAUAUAGUGUUCAAAAUCAGAAAAUAGAUGGCUCAAUACCUCAGAAACAAAGUAGAAACAAUAAGUAUAUGAACAUGAGGAAGGAGAAAAACAGAUGAAAUUAUUUACAGGAAACAACAAAGGACUUGUCUAGGAAAUUUGUGUAUACGUUUCCCACCUUUUACUUUUUCAAAUGAAUCUAUCUUCAUUAUAAUACCUAUGAAAGGGAGUCGGUAACAAUUAAUUAAGAGUUUUUUUUCAUUUUCUUAAAUCUUAAAAUCAAUGUUGAGACAUUAAUCAAGACUAAACUUGUCUCCUUGAAGGAGAAAAACAGAUCAAAUUUCUCUAAACAUUUCCAUUUUUUCUUCCAAAUGUCUCCUUUAAUGAUAUAAGUAUCACCUAAUCUACAAUCCUACAUGAAGGAGAAAAACAGAUCAAAUUUCUCUAAACAUUUCCAUUGUUUCUUCCAAAUGAAAGCGCGUAGGUGUGGAAAUUGGGGGAUGAUAGAUGAGUGAUAGAUGUUGUCUCAGGAAGAAUCCAAGAAAGAGUCGACAAAAUUGAGCCUACAAUAAUUAUAAGUGUUGGACCGUUUGUGUUUUACAUUAUCAUAUUUACUUCAUAAUUAUAAAGUAUUAACUAAUUGUGUUUUACAUGCUUAACUAGUUUCUUAUGUAACAUACACCUAAUUAUUUUUAUUUCAUUAAUUAUAUAUUUAUUUUAUUAAUUAGUGUAUUUAAUUAUUAUUUAAAGAUAUAUGAUUAUUUAUUUAAAAACGUUUAUUAUUUUAUGUAAUGUAAAAUAAUUAAAAUAUUUUAUUAGACUUAACACAUAAUUUAGUACUUGAGUUUGACGCUUUUUUUAAUGCGAUACUUAUGUUAUUUUUUGGUCCAAUCAUGUAUUUGUAUUUGACAAAAGUUAUAUAUUUUGACACCCAAAACUAAUGAUGUUAAGUGUUUAAUUCGAGUUUUAGGGCUGGUUUGAUGAAAAUUAAUUGCUAAUUAUGUAUUUUCAUCAAACCAACUCUAAAACCCGCAUUAAAUCACAUCCAUUGAACUGUAUUUGACAAAUUAAAUGCAAAAUUAAACAAAUCCACAAUUAACACUAAAUUUAUUCUAUUAACAAAAUCAUGAAAAAUUCAAAGUUAAUAAUAUUAACAAUUAACUUUCAUCAAAUUAAUUCUUAAACUUGAACUAAACACUAAAAAGUUAACACCGUUACUUUUGAAUACCAAAAUAUAUAUGUUUUAUCAAAUAUAUGUAACAAAUUGAAAAAAAAACAAGAGUACCACAUUAAAAAAAAAGUGUCAAACUCAAAUACCAAUUAUGCAUUAAAUUAUUUUAUUACAAGAUAUUGUUUAAUUAUAAAUUUCAAUAUUUAAAUUAAAAAAAAGGUGUAAUUCAAAGACAAAUGUAAAGCGAAAUUCAAUAUUUAUCUAAUUUUAUCUACUCAAAAUAUUUAUUCAGGCCCUAUUUGAUAAAUGGUUGAAAAAAAAUCAACUAAAAAAUUAAUAUUUUCAACAGUUUUAUUUAUUUUAAUAUGUUUGAUAGCCGCUAAUAUAAACCACUUCAUAGAAUUUUUUUUCUUCAUUUUUUUGGUGAAUUACAAUAAUAUGACAAAACCCGAACAACAAGCACGGCUAACAUAAUAACUUGAAUCCAAGCUAUACCUAAGUGGUGAACAUCCUAACUAUCAGACCGUCACACAUUAGAUUCAAUUUUUUAUCAUUUUAUUGUUUUAUUCAACAAAAUUUUCUAUGACACAUGAACCUUCAUUUUUUUUAUAUUUUCGGUAUAAUAUUUAUUUUUCAUAAUGUUUAUAAUAUUUUAUAUGUAAUACUAUAAUUUACUACAAAUAUUUCAUAUUUAUAGUAAAGUUAUUUAAUAUAUGAUUUUGCUUAAAAUAAUGUGCAAUGUUUAAAAAUUAAAAAUAAAAUUAUAAAAUAAAUUUGUUUAUAAUUUAAUAUUUAUAUUUAUCAAACAAUUUAAUUAUAUUUCAAGUAUAACACCCACCAUAUUGAAACAACACUUCCCAAGCUUUCCAAGAAAGAAAAAUAUGAUCACAAUUCUCUUCAACUUCAUUGCACCAACAACAUUUGAUAGAACCUUAACUGUUAGAAUACCUCGAUCCCUUAAAAAAACAUUUUGAAGGUAUACCUUUCUGGAAUAACAGCAGAAAUAUGGUUUCGUCAAUAUGGGAUCUUUUGCUAGCAGGAAUUGAAGCCAUUUAAGUAGUGUUAAGGACCUAUAUAAACUACAAAAUGUAGCUAUUUAAAUACCAUUUAGCAACACAAAAACAGAGUACAGGUUCCCAUGGCGUUUGAUGACAAAGAUAAAAGAUGAUUAUAUUUCGCCCUAUUACCUGCUUCUUCAUGGAGCAAUCCAACUUUCUCCACACUUUUGUCUCAAAGUUGGAUUAUAUUUUUUCAACCUAUAUUGAAAAUAUAGAUGUAAGUUUAUACAUAUAACAAAGUAUUUAAUAUUUUGAGAGAUAGAGGUAUCCUAAUUUUAGAGCCACCUCUCUGUUGGCUAAACCAUUCUGGGAUUUCACUUCCAGGUAUAAUAACAUCAGUCUCUUGGUAAAUAGAUCCAUAAAUUCCCAUGUAUGAGAGGGAAAGAAAGAGAGAUUAGUUAACCUUAUGAUGUUUUAUCAACAAUGUUAAUGCAUUGACGUUCUCAGCCAAUCUGUAGCAGUUAAUGGCUUUAAUGGAAGCUAAAUCCAAUAAAUUGCAUUGUUACAAGCAGCAGCUCGAACACAUGAAGCAGCUAAAUCUAAAUAUGGGCAUUGAGACAUGAUCCUUCAAGAACUCUUUAAUACAUGAAAAAAACCUUUUGAAAAAACAAUGAACAUACACAUUUCAAAUACAUACUCAUAUCUAACACGCACAUCUGGAUUUAAAAUACUUAAGCCUAAAAAUAUUAGAAUUAAUAUUUAGUGCUCUGGCAAUUUAUAAAAUUUAUGCAUUGUUAGUGAACCAAAUCAAAACAAAUAAUGAAGGAUGAAAUCACUUGAAUUUAUUUUUUAAAAAAUUGAUUGACAUGUUAUAAUUUAGUUCGUAAAGUAUGAACAUUUGUCGACAAAAGUUUUCCUGACACUUUUAACUCCUGUUAUAGGUAAGAUACUUUUCAAGGCAAUUUAAAAAGUCAACAAAAGUCAUGUUUAUAUUUUGUUUGUGACCCGAAUUCUUAUUAAAACAAAAUACUGUGGUAAAAUAAAAUAAAAGUAAAAUCCAUAUAGAACUACACUUCUUUUAUUUUAUUUUAAAAUAAGGUUUUUCAACCUUAUUACACUUCAUCUAUUUGAUAUUGAUUAGAAUUAGAUGUUUCAACCUUACUACACUCCUUUUAUUAGAAUAUGGGUGUACAAGUCUAUAAAUAGACAUAGUCUACUCCUCUUGUAAUUAAUUCGAAUUUGACAUAGUGAAUUAUCUUCUCCUCUGCCUGUGGUCUUUCCUCGAAAGGGUUUCCACGUAAAACUGUGUGUUCUUUUUUUUUUUGUUCUUUCUCUUUUCUUUGCAAUACAUUGUCAUUAUUGACGUUCUAUUUUUAAAAAAUUGGUAUCUGAGCUUCCGGUUUGUUCAUCUCAAUCACGAUAAUGGCGUCUUUGAAGUAUGAAAUUCCACUGUUGAAUUGCAACACCAGAUUCGUGUUGUGGCAGGUUAAGAUGCAAGCAGUUCUUGCACAGAUGGAUAUGGAGGAUGCCCUGCUAGGGAUAGAUAAGAUGCCUUUGACAUAUGGAUGAAGAAAAGAAGCGUAAAGAUCGAAAGGCAUUAACACAGUUACAUCUACAUUUGUCUAACGAAGUUUUGCAGGAUGUGGUGAAGGAGAAGACUGCCGUUGUAUUAUGGAAGAAGCUGGAACAAAUAUGUAUGUUGUAAACUCUAACCAACAAGCUACAUAUGAAGCAACAUCUUUAUGCUCAUCUUUUGGAGGAAGGUGCGUCUGUGCACACUUAACAGUGUUUAAAGAAAUUCUCUCAAACUUGGAGGCUAUGAAGGUUCAGUAUGAUAAAGAAGAUCUAGGGUUGAUUCUACUUUGUUCGUUGCCCCUAUCUUAUUCAACCUUUAGAGACAUGAUUUUAUAUAGUCGCGAAUCUCUCACAGUUGAUGAGGUUUAUGAUUCUUUAACCUUGUAUGAUAAGAUGAAGUAUCUUGUGGUUGCACCCGACUCUCAGGGAUAGGGUCUCAUUGUUCGUGGGAGACAAUAUUAGAAUUUGAAGAUGAUCGUGGAAGGACACAAGAACGGAAUCCUUGCGGUAAAUCUAAGGAAAGAUCAAAGUCUUCAAAUAGAGGUAAAACUUAUAACUUCUGUAAGAAGAAGGGACACAUUAAAUCUGAGUGUUUUAAGCUGCAGAACAAGAUCAAAAGGGAGGCUGCGAAUAAAAAAAGCAAACAACCAAAAAAAUAUGGUGAAGUUGAUGUUGUAGAAGACUACAACGACAAUGAACUUCUAGUCGCUUUUGUCAAUAAUUCUAAAGUGAGCGAGGAGUGGAUCCUUGAUUCGGGUUGCACCUCCACAUGAGUCCCAAUUGAGAUUGGUUUACAACUUACGAAAUAGUGUCUGAAGGUGUUGUUCUGAUGGGAAAUAAUGCUUCGUGUAAAAUCGCAGGUGUUGGAACAAUUAAAGUUAAGAUGUUUGAUGGAGUUGUUAAAAUGACUGUUGUUGCUUCCUCUUCCUUGUCAUAUGAUGAUGUUACUAGACUUUGGCAUAUGCGCCUAGGGCAUAUGAGUGAGAAUGGCAUGGUAGAAUUAAGCAAAAGAGGACUUCUUGAUGGGUAAGGAAUUUGCAAACUAAAUUUUUGUAAGCACUGCAUUUUUGAGAAGCAAAAGAGAGUUUAGAUCACUAGAGGAAUCCAUAACACGAAGGGAAUAUUAGAGUAUAUUUAAUCUAAUUUGUGAGGGCCAUUCAAAGUGCAUUUGAGAAGUGGAGCUAAUUAUAUGCUAACACUUAUUGAUGAUUUUUCUAGAAAAGUUUGGGCAUUUUUCUUGAAGAAAAAAAACGAUGUGUUUUCUACAUUUAAGUCUUGGAAAACUAUGAUUGAAAAAUAGACGAGAAAAUAAAAAAAAACCAUCUCUGCAUAGACAAUGGCUUAGAGUUCUAUUCUGAUGAGUUUAAUGAACUAUACAAGUUAGAAGGGAUCAUGAGACACUUGACAGUUCAUCAUGCUCAAAAACAAAAUGGCAUUGCAGAACAAAUGAAUAGAACGAUUAUGGAGAAAGUUCGAUGUAUGUUAUCGAAUGCUAACUUAUUGAAGUCGUUUUGGGCCGAAGCAACCUCUGCUGCAUGUUUUUUGAUCAACCGAUCUCCAUCCAUUGCCAUUGAUAAAAAGACUCCACAAGAGGUAUGGUUUGGUAAUCCUACUGAUUAUUCUAAUUUAAAGAUCUUUGGGUGUCCUGCGUAUGCUCAUGUUGAUAAUGGAAAAUUGGAACUAAGAUCCAUUAAAUGUGUUUUUCUUGGUUAUAAGGCUGGUGUAAAAGGGUAUAAGUUAUGGUGUCCUGAAAAUAGAAAAGUUAUGAUUAGUAGAGAUAUUAUUUUUGAUGAAACUGCUAUGCUACCUAACUUAUCUCUUAAAGACUUUUUCAAUAAAGAACAACAAAAGUAGGUGGAGCAUCAAAUUAAUCCAAAAUCUACAACAGAGUCAACUCUUCAAGCCAGUACAAAAAUUAAGAAUAGAGUUGCUUCUUUACUACAAUACUUUAUCGCCAAAAAUAGAACUAGACGAGAGAUUAAACCUCCAAAAAAGUAUGUCAAGGCUGAUCUAGUUACUUAUGCUUUAAAUGUGGCUAAAGAUAUAGAUGCAAACCAAGAGCCAUCUAAUUAUUCUGAGGCUGUUAGCUGUGAAGACUCAAAGAAGUGGAUGUUUCCUAUGCAAGAGGAGAUGGAACCACUCCACAAAAACAUAACAUGGGACCUUGUGAAACUUCCUAAAGGCAAAAAGGUUGUUCGUUGUAAAUGGGUGUUUGGGUGUUUAAAAAGAAAGAAGAACUCUCAGAGUUGAAGAACCCAUAUAUAAAGUAAAGCUUGCUGCAAAGGAUUACAGUCAAAUUCCAGAAGUGGAUUUCACAGAUGUGUUCUCCCCAAUUGUGAAGCAUAGUUCAGUUCGAGCUUUGCUUGGUAUUGUGGCCAUGCAUGAUUUGGAGCUUGAGCAGUUAUAUGUAAAAACUAAAUUUUUGCAUAGAGAACUUGAGUAGGAUGUUUACAUGCAACAACCAGAGGGUUUUAUAGUCUCAGAAAAAGAGGACUAUGUUUGCUUGUUGAAAAAAUCCCUUUACGGUUUGAAGCAGUCACCAAGACAGUGGUAUAAGAGGUUUGAUUCCUUUAUGACUUCUCAUGGGCAUGAUUUUAAAAUAAGUAGUUUUGAUAGUUGUGUUUACUUUAAGAAAAACAGUGAUGGUUCUUUUGUGUAUCUACUACUUUAUGUUGAUUAAAUGUUGAUAGUAGCGAAAGAUAAAUGAGAGAUAAGAAAGGUCAAAGGCCAACUAAGUGAAGAAUUUGAGAUGAAAGAUUUGGGACCAGCAAAGAAGAUACUUGGUAUGAAGAUUCUCAGAGAUAAAAAAACAAGUAAUUGUACCUAAGUCUGAAGGGGUACAUUGUGAAAGUUCUUUGUAAGUUCAAUAUGCAGAGUGCUAAGCCUGUUAGUACUCCUUUAGCAGCCCAUUUCAGACUUUCAUUGGCUUUGUCUCCACAAUCAGAUGAUGAGAUUGAGUACAUGUUACAUGUUCCAUGUUCUAGUGCAGUGGGAUCUCUCAUGUAUGCUAUGGUUUGUUCACGUCCAAAUUUAUCAUAUGCAGUCAGUGUAGUUAGUAGAUACAUGGUGAAUCCCGGUACAGAACACUGGAAAACAGUUCAGUGGAUUUUAAGAUACUUACGAGGUACUAAUGAUGUUUGCUUACAGUUUGGAAGAAUUAGAGAUGGAGUCAUUGGGUAUGUUGGUGCUGAUUUUGCUGGAGAUCUUGAUAGAAGAAGAUCUCUCACAGGUUACGUAUUUACAAUUGGAGGUUGUGUAACCAGUUGGAAAGCCACUUUGUAAACUAUAGUUGCUUUGUCUACCACUGAAGCUUAGUAAAACAUGCAGAUAUGAUGACUAAGCCACUUCCCAUAACCAAGUUUGAGCAUUACUGAGACUUGGUUGGUGUUCAUUGUUGAAGUUAAACCCUUACGGGGUUUUACGGAAGAGGUAGAGAAUUUGUUCAUUGAGAGUUCGCGAUGAAGAACUUGUUUAUUGAGAUUUUGUGUCAAGGUGGAGAUUUUUAGAAUUGAGUGACCUAAAUCGUUGUUAAAAUAAAAUGUACUGUGGUAAAAUAAAAUAAAAGUAAAAUCCAUAUAGAACUACACUUCUUUUAUUUUAUUUUAAAAUAAGGUUUUUCAACCUUAUUACACUUCAUCUAUUUGAUAUUGAUUAGAAUUAGGUGUUUCAACCUUACUACACUCCUUCUAUUAGAAUAUGGUUUUACAAUCCUAUAAAUAGACACAGUCUACUCUUCUUGUAAUUAAUUUGAAUUUGACAUAGUGAAUUAUCUUCUCCUCUGUCCGUAGUUUUUUCCCAAAAGUUUCACGUAAAAUCUGUGUGUUCUUUAUUUUUUUCUUUUUCUUUGCGAUACAUUGUCAUUAUCGACGUUCUAUUUUUCACGUAUUUAUAUGUUGUUUAUUCAAGAUCAUUAUGAAUUGCUUUAACCCAAAUUCAUAAAAAGCACCAUAAAAUCUGGAUCUUUUAAUCUUCACAUUUAUCAUGUAAAUAUCUCUUACUAAAGUUCCACCAAAUAUGUAUACCAAAGAAUGUGAUAGAACUUACAAAGGCGAGACUAAGAUUACAACAAAAUAAAGGUUCUUACAAAACACAAAAUUUAAGUUUUAAGCAUUCUGAAAUACAUCCAAACUAUCCGAAAAAGCUUUCAUCCUUACUGCUAUAGGAUGAAAACUUAAUAAGCAAUCAACACCCAUACAUUAGGCACCAAGGAUGAACAUGAAGCACACAGACAAGUUUAAAUCCCCUUGUAGCUUGUUAAUAAGAAGCAGAAACCAAAAUUGUUCGAUACGUAUCUAGUUAUGUAUAUAAAGGGAUUACAUCAUUUUCGAUCAAAUAAGUUGGUUUGGAUCGACUUUGUGAAGGGAUUACACCAGUUUCGGUGAGAUAAGUUGAUUUUGAAUAGAUUUUUAUGCAUUCCUAGUGGAGGGAGAAUUUAGUGACAAUAAAUCCAAUUCAUAAUAUAACUUGAGAUUUAGUUAUUUUGUGCAAUUGUCUUUAAGAAAAUUUAAAUGAAUCAAUUGUUUGAAUCUUAAUAUUUCAGAAUUUUUUUUUUGUAAGAUUAUGAUAUUUUCAUUCUACUAAUGUUCAGUAAUUUAAAACAAUCAUAAUUGUGCACCAAUUAUAAAAGAAGUUACAAGAAAAUUGUGCACCAAUCAAAUGGUCCAAUUGAGACGAUACUUGAACAGUUUAAUGUUGAAUUCAAAUGCUAUUUAUGUCACGUCAAUAUUGUUAAAUUAUCGGUUCAAUUAACAUUUUGCAUUAAAAAAAUCUAUAAUUUGACUCAAAAUAAAAUGUUGAGGGCCAAAUUAUAAAAAAAAAGGGUCAAAUUGUCAAAAUUUAUAAACUCUUAAGAAUUUUUUUUUUGUCAUUAUGCCUAAUUUCCUAAAUUCAACCGAGCCUAUAAUUGUUAAAGUGUCCGUUUGCAUGAUUCUUUGAGCAAAUUUUCAUGCUUCAAUCGGUUUAAGGGACAAACAUAAAACAUCAAGAUUAUUUGAAUGAGUGUUAAAAAUAAAUGUCUAAACAUAAAUACUUUAUAAAAACAUAUAAACUGAGAAGUUGGAAUAAUAUUAUUUGUACUUCAAGCCAUGAAAUUUAAAUGGUACUUUCAUAAAAAAUUAAACCUACUUAAGUACUUUUAAUUCAAUCGAAAUUAUGAUUUAAUCCUCAUUAAAAGAUUUUCGCCUUAUUAUUACUUGUUUCGUCACAAAAGCUAUCCAUUUUUCUCCACAUUUAUAUCUCAAGUUGAUUAUAUUUACUUCAACCUGCAAAUAAAAUAUAGGUGUAAGUGAAUAUAUAUAUAUAUAUAUAUAUAUAUAUAUAUAUAAUGAAAAUGAAAUUUUAAUAAAUAAAAAAAUUGAAAACAAUCAAAAUUUACACAUUUCAAUUAUGUUAAGAGGAAUGAAUUAAGUGACUAAAAUUUUAAAUGGUAUAAAAAAAACUAUGUUUUCAACGUUUGGGAUAUGUAUAGAACAUGAGUUCAUGUUCAAUAUCAGUAUGAAUAAAAAUUUUAAAACUUUUUUGGUAUAUAACGAAAGGAUCAUAUCAAUACGCAAAUAAGUCUAGAAUAAUUACUUUAUAUGAAAUAAAAGAUGCAAGGUUAUGUAAAAAAAAAAUAAUGGGACAAGGUUGGUUAAGUAGUUUACCAUAGUUAAUGGUUCUUCCCCAAUUGACCCAUUAUAAUUGCGGUCCUUCUUCCUCUGCUUCGUCAUAGAUAUUACGUUUUCGUUUUAUGUGAGAAGUGCUACCCACUAAUGGAUCAUCGUUGUGAGUGGAGUAUUGGUGGAUGUGUUCAAAAUUUGGAGAAGAUUGAGUGGUAUGGCACUGCAACUCUUUUUAUUUCUUCCAAAUCUUUCUCAUACACUAUUCUAACACCACACUUCUUCACCUUAACACUGCUUUUAAUGAAAGACAACUCGAGCUCAUCGCAUUUCUGAUCUAAACAAUCUGUUGUCCAUAAAUUAUUGGUUUCACAGUCACCAUAUUUAUCUUCCAUGGAAAUUGGAUAUAGUUUAUUACGCGGCCAAUAACGAAGAAAAAGGUGAUCUUUCAUUAUGGGCUCGUUAAAUCGUUUGCCCACCAACCAGCCACUCCAAUCAAUUUGUCGACGAUUUCUACCUCGAAAAAUAGAUCCAUUCCAGCUGGCUUCUUCAGAAUUUCUACAAUAGAUAAAUGCUUCACAAUCGAUAACCUCGAUAUCGCAUGAAGCAUCAUUAUUGACAAAACUGCAGCAAGAAGCAACUCCAAUCCAUUGACUAUCUUUCCGAAGGUUGAUAGGUAGGGGUAUCUUAAUUGAAGAGCCACUUUUUUGUUGGCUAAACCAUUCUGGGAUUUCACUUCCGGGAAUAAUAAUAUCAAACGCUUUUCUUGGAUUUGGAAAUGCCUGCAAAAUAAAACACAAGUGGUUUGGUAAAUAAAACCAUAAAUUCUCAAGUAUGAGAUUUUGUAAGGGAGAAAAUAGAGAUUAAUCGACCUUAAGAUGUUUUUUCAGCAGUGCUAAUGCAUCAGCCAAUUUGAAGCGGUUAAUGGCUCUAACGGUAGCCCAACCCACUAAAUUGCAUCCUUUUGAUGGACUUGCAACUACUUCAAGUGAAGCACAACCAUCGAUCCACACCUUUCCUAUACUUGUUAGAAGCUCAGGCAAAUAUUUAAGCUUCUUGCAAUUUAUCAAGUAAAGAAACUCAAGCUUUGAGAGUCGAGUAAGAGAUGCAGGUACGCUGAUGAAAUUGUUACCACUAAGAUCAAGAUCUGUCAAGGAGGAUAGACCAGAAGUAUCACGUGGAAUAUCUCCUUCACAAAGAUUGCAGUCCCUUAGUUUUAGCUCUCUUAAUGAACUCAAACCUGACAACAAAGGCAACAUCGGAGCUAAGGGAUUCGUCCCUCUUCCUUGGAUUACCUUGAAAAGAGAAGGCAAAUUUUGUCGUGACUUAUAUGAUGGUCCCUUGCGCCCAUUGAAAGAUAGAAUCUUAAUAUUUUUCAAUAGAAAAAUGAAGGGUGGUGGCUCUGUUAUGCUUGUUUCACUCAAGUCAAGCUCUUCCAAAGAUUCUGCUUGCUGUAAAUUCUCUGGUAAAUAUUCAACUUUGAAACAUCCAGAAAGAUGAAGAGUUUUUAGAUGUUCUAUUUUCCCAUCAAUCUCUGGAAACCUUGCAAGAUUUGAGCAACCUGAAAGAAUUAAUGUUUCAAGAGAUUCCAUUCCAAUUUCGGUUGGAAGACUCCUAAGACUUUUGCAGUCUCUUAAAUUCAAAAGUUUAAGGCUCUUAAGCACUCCGAUUGAUGGAUGGACAUCUACUAAUCUGGUACAACCUUCCAUAAUCAAAGCUUCAAGUUUUGGUGCUGUUGUGAAGUCAGGUGUCUUGAUCAGGUUUUGGGACCCCUUGAGGUUGAUCAUUUUCAACUUAAACAAUGGCUGUUGAAGAUAAUAAUAAAUUAGGCCGAAGACAUAAUAAUGCUAAUUUUUGUUUUUUUUUUUACCUUAAUCAAAGUUUAAUCAUUUAUAUUAAAAUAAACUAAAACACAAGGAUAAGAUGAGUUAGUUCUUACUCUAUUCCCCUUCCAUAGUUGUUCAAUAUGACUAUAUGGUAAAAGAAGUGCAACAAGAUUAUCUGGGUGGAAGUUUGAAGGCAAAAGUUUUAAAGGGUAUUCUGUCCAAUCUAAAAGCCGUAGUUCAUUAGAAAGAUAUUUGAGAUGAUCAUCACAAUUUGAUACGCGAAACACUUUGAGCAAUCUCAAAUUUUCAUCUUCGAGAAGGUAACGGUGCUCAAAUUGAACAUCUUGCUCGAUUCCCUAAUAAUCAUGAGUAAAACAAAAAAUGAGCUUCAAAAUAUACAAAAAUAUUCAAUAUCUAAAAGCUAUGUUGCAUCGAUAUUUUUUUAUGUACCCACAUCCAGUACUUAUAUGUAAUGCGUAUAUAAAUAUGGUAUUGCGAUAUAAUUAAAUAUAUUAGACAAUACUUAAUCUAACACUUAUUUCACACUUUUAAUUACCUAAGCCUAAAAAACCUAGAACUAAUAUUUUUAUUUAUGUUUAGUGCAUUGAUGUGUAAUUCUAUACAUUACUAGCAAAAUGAUGGCAUUAUUUGGAUUUACUUUUGAAAACUUUUAAUGAUAUGUUAUGGUCUAGUUCAUUGAUAUAUACUGUCAUUACAUCAUAUAUAAACCAUUAAUAUUAACAAAGACAAUGACAUUAAUUUUUUUAUAAUUUCUUUUGAAAGAGUAGUGUUUCUUUAUAAAAUUCAUAAAUAAAAAUUGAAAAAUUAAACAUUAAGAAUGUGUUUGGUUGGGUGAAAAAGUAAAGGGAUAUGAGAAUGAAGUAUGCUUGGUAAAAAAAAAAGUGAGAAAAAAGAAAGAAAGAAAGAGAUGAUCAUUUACGUGUAUAUUUUCCUACCAUUUAUUGUCGAUGAUCAUGCCUUCAACCAUUUCGGUAGCCUAGAAGUAAUCAAGAAUAGACAAUAAGAAGAUAAAAUAAAUGCUCUAAAUUGUACGAUAAAAUUUUUAAAAAUUUACACACAUGUUCAACGUUAUCACAAUAUUUUGGUUGGAAUAUAGUAAAUAAAAUAUUUUCUAAUGAAAGUAAUUCAAUAAACUUAAAGCUACUCAAUGUCACUUGAGGAUCAAUAUAUAAACCAAUUAGACUAAGCUUUGGAUUUACAUCAUAUAUUAAUAAAAGAAAUUUUUGUAUGUAAUUUUUGUUGAAUGAUUUACCGUGUUUUUUGUUAGGACAUGAUGAACAUCCAUUUCCUUCCAUAAUCUACAACGUUUUCCGGGUUCAUCAACACAUUUUUCUUCAACAAUUUUUCUUCCCAUUUCUUGCAAUAAGGCAUGCAUCUGCAAAUAUUGGUUGUCAUCACUGACUUUUAUGAGAGAUUUCUUAAUGAGAACAUCGACUCCAAUAUCUGGAAAAAACCCACAACCAUCCAAUACUUUCAUUACCAAAUCUUUCUCCUCCCCAUUGAAAAAGCAUGCUAUAUCUAGAAAUAUAUUCUUCUCCCUUUCUUCCAAUCCAUCAAAGCUAAUUCUUAGUGUGUCAAGAAUUUCUUUGUUAGAAUCUUGUUUAAGUCUUUCGAUUGCACUUCUCCAUAGAACUAUAUCUCUACCACACAAAAAUGAACCCAAAACUUCAAGAGCUAAGGGAAGACCACCAGCAUAAUGUACAACAUGUUCAGAAAGCUCAAUGAAAUCAACUUUCGGCGUUGUAUCACCGUCAAAAGCUUUCAAAUUGAAAAGCCUUAGUGCAUCGUUGGGAUUCAAUAUUGUAGGCUUAUACACAUCAUUGAUUCGAUAAGAUCGGAGCAAAUGUUCAUCUCUUGUUGUUACAAUGAUCCUACUCCCUAAAUUGAACCAAUCACGCCUUCCAACCAAGCAUUUCAAAUGUUGUAUGUUAUCAACAUCAUCAAGAACAACAAGAACCUUUUUACUAGACAACCUGUGGCUAAUUAUGGCAUUCCCUUCAUGAACAUUGAAAAAAUUGAAGCAUUCAUUCGGAAAGAUUUGAGAAAGAAGUUGUUUCUGUAAAGAAACAAGUCCAUGUUUGUUUGAAACUUCUCGAAUAUCAGCAAGAAAGCAUUUACCUUGAAAAUGAGGUAACAUUUGAGUGUAAGCAACCCUUGCAAGAGUUGUUUUACCGAUGCCACCCAUUCCGCAAAUUCCUAUAAUGCGGACAUCGUCUUCCCCAAUAUUUAUUUUCGAAUACAACUCCUCCAAAUGUAAACUAAUUCCAACCAACUCAUCAUGAACAACAGGAUAUGUCUGACAUAAUUUUGCUGAUAUCUUCUUAACAACGUCUCUAAUAAACUCUGAUUCGUGCCUACAAUGAAAUUAAAAUCCGAUAUGCACUUUUUCAUUUUUAGUUUAGUGAAUCAUGAAGUAUAAUAUGGUUGGAAGCAAACAAAAAGUAUGAAUAAGACAGUAAGAUAUAUUAUAGCAUCAAAAUACACAACUUGCUCGUUAGUUGAAAUAUGGGAAUUCUCAAUUAAACACAAAAUUAUAAAAAUAACAUGCAAUCCAAUAAAAAAAACAAUUUUUUAGUCAUUAAAAUUAGGAAAUAGAGAAGAUAAGAAAGAAAUACCUAUUUUUUAAAUGCCAUCCCUUGAUGUUAGCCACUUCAGUCAAAGCAUUUCGCCACUUUUGGAUCUUGUCUUUAUCUUCCUUGUAUCCUUUUUCGUGUUUGGCAAAGGCUUCUUCAACUUUUUCUUUUUGUUUUCUUAAAUCGGAUGGAUCAACAUGGUAGAAAAUCGGAAAUACUUUAUGACCCUUGUCAUUUUUUUGUUUAACAAUCUCCGCAAGCUCCUCCAAGCAUCAACCUGAAAAGGCAUAGGUCUCGGAAAAAACGAUUACCGAGCACCAUGAUUGCUGAAUUGCGUUGAAGAGUUCCGGUGCGAUCUCUUCACCAGUUUCCAACUUUGGAUCAUCUCUAAAAGUGACGAUCCCAGUUCUAUUUAGAGCAUCGUAGAGAUGAUGCGUAAAAUUUUUGCGAGUAUCUUCACCUCUAAAACUCAAGAACACAUCGUAUUUCUUUCUAGAAAUGGAUGAGGAAGUGGAAAGUAACGACGACAUGAGGAUGUAUGAGAAGAAAAAUAUGUGGAUGUAGUGUUCAAAAUCAGUCGCUCAAUACCUCCGAAACAAAAAGUAUAUGAGCAUGAGGGGAGAAAAACAGAUGAAAUUUCGAGGAGGGAAGAACAAAGGGACUAGGUGAAUCUAUCAGUAUAAUAAUAUCUAUGAAAGGGAGUAGGUGUGGAAAUUCGGGGUCAUAGAUGCUCUUUCCGGGAAGACUCCAAGAAGGUGAGUUCACAAAAUGCAGCCUACAAUUUUUCUGAAAAUUAAAUUCAUUAAUUUAUUCAGAACCAUAUAAUUCAGGCAAAAGAAAAUAAUAAAUACUCAUAGUAAACUCUAUCAAUACAAUAAAGGCUUUAGCCUUAAUAUCAAUAGAACAUCAGGACUCUUUAACAAUUAAUUUUAUCACAACUCAAAUACGAUAUAUUUAGAGUAAUUGCAAACACUUAAUACGAUAAGAAAAUCAACUUCGGAUGGUCCAAAGCAACGAGCAAAAAUUGAGAUAAGAAUCGAGCAUUUACCAAACUAGAUAGGACGACAAUAAAAUCAUCUCUAAAAUCACUUGUAAAACUAAGAUUAUAUGCAUAAACACACUUAUUAAAUAAUUGAAAAAAAAUAUUAAACUUAACAACACAAAAAUAGAUCCUACAAUUAUUAUCAAGUAACGUGUUGGACGGUUUGUGUUUUACUUUUUUUUUAAUUUUAUAUUAUCAUAUCUACUUUAUAAUCAGUAGCUUAUGUACGCAUAUAUGUGAUUUUACGCAUUUAAUAUUUGAUUAAUUUUUUUAAAUAUUAUACUUUUAAUUGAAGUAAUUAGUAUAAAAUAAUAUUUUUUAUUUAAAUUAUUAAAUAUAUGUAAAAUAUAUUAAUUCAUCAAUUCAAACAAAUAUUAUAAUAGAAAUUUUUUAAAUAAUAAUAAAAUAAUUUUUAACAUAUUCAACAUAUAUUAUAGUUUUCCUUUAUGUAGCUAAUGCAAUGUAAUAUUACUCAAAAUAAUACUUAACAUAAUUGUCAGCAGCCUCUUGGCCUAUUUACAAAAGCUUGAUUUUGUAGGCACGAGAGUUUGGAUUCAAUUCUAAGCAACCCUAUUUUCCUUCCUUAAAAACUGAGCACAAUAAAUUCUAAUAAUAAUUAAGUGAUAAUUAUAAUGAUAAUUUUAAAUUUAGUAAUAGAAAAAAAUAAAUAUCUUUCUCAAACUCGUUAUUAUAUAUUGAGUAUUAAAAUUGUGUUUUACGUGUCAUAGCAAUUCACCACCAUUUGAUCUUAUCUGUUAUCUUCCUUGUACCUUUCUUCGUGUUUGGUGAAGGCUUCUUCAACUUUUUCUUUGUUUUCAUCCACAUCGGGGGCCAUAGAUGAGCCUUCGAUGUUCUUUCCGAGAAGACUCCAAGAGGGCGAGAGCUGUUGUUAACAUUUAUAGAGUUUUUCUUGGUUAAAAUGUGCCAGAAGUUUCCUAUACCAUUAAUCACUAAAUUAUGGAUAAAGUUUUGUAGGUAUCUUCACCUCUAAAACUAAAAAAAACAUAAUAUUUCUUUCUAGAGAUGGAUGAGGAAUUCGAAAGUGACGAUGACAUGACGAUUUAUGAGACGAAAAAUAUAUAUGGAUAUAGUGUUCAAAAUCAGAAAAUAGAUGGCUCAAUACCUCAGAAACAAAGUAGAAACAAUAAGUAUAUGAACAUGAGGAAGGAGUAAAACAGAUGAAAUUUACAGGAAACAACAAAGGACUUGUCUAGGAAAUUUGUGUAUACGUUUCCCACCUUUUACUUAUAAUACCUAUGAAAGGGAGUCGGUAACAAUUAAUUAAGAGUUUUUUUUCAUUUUCUUAAAUCUUAAAAUCAAUGUUGAGACAUUAAUCAAGACUAAACUUGUCUCCUUUAAUGAUAUAAGUAUCACCUAAUCUACAAUCCUACAUGAAGGAGAAAAACAGAUCAAAUUUCAAGGGAAAUUGGGGGAUGAUGGAUGAGUGAUAGAUGUUGUCUCCAGGAAGAAUCCAAGAAAGAGUCCACAAAAUUGAGCCUACAAUAAUUAUAAGUGUUGGACCGUUUGUGUUUUACAUUAUCAUAUUUACUUCAUAAUUAUAAAGUAUUAACUAAUUGUGUUUUACAUGCUUAACUAGUUUCUUAUGUAACAUACAUCUAAUUAUUUUUAUUUCAUUAAUUAUAUAUUUAUUUUAUUAAUUAGUGUAUUUAAUUAUUAUUUAAAGAUACAUGAUUAUUUAUUUAAAAAUGUAUAUUAUUUUAUGUAAUGUAAAAUAAUUAAAAUAUUUUAUUAGACUUAACACAUAAUUUAGUACUUGAGUUUGACACUUUUUUCUAAUGUGAUACUUAUGUUAUUUUUGAUCCAAUCAAGUAUCUGUAUUUGACAAAAAGUUAUAUAUUUUGACAUCCAAAACUAAUGAUGUUAAGUGUUUAAUUCGAGUUUUAGGGUUGGUUUGAUGAAAAUUAAUUGCUAAUUAUGUAUUUUCAUCAAACCAAUUCUAAAACCCGAAUUAAAUCACAUCCAUUGGACUGUAUUUGACAAAUUAAAUGCAAAAUUAAACAAAUCCAUAAUUAACACUAAAUUUAUUCUAUUAACAAAAUCAUGAAAAAUUCAAAGUUAAUAAUAUUAGCAAUUAACUUUCAUCAAAUCAAUUCCCAGACCCGAACUAAACACUAAAAGGUUAACAUCGUUUGUAAUGACCCAAAAUUCACGGGCAUUGGAAAAGUACAUUAUCAGGCCUCUGUCUUAGAAAACUGAGUCAUAAAUAAUUAUUAGAAGUAAUUAUGAGUUUAGUUGAGUGCUUAAUUAGGUAUUAAUUAGGUAAAUUUAGUCUAAUUAAGAAUAAUUAGGAAAAAAGAACUAAAUAGAGUAAAGGGUAAAAGUUUAAUUAUAGAUCAAAAAAAAGUAUAAAGGAUCAAAAUGGCAAUUAAGCCAAUUCAUAAGAAUGAGGCGGCAUAAGCUGUGUAAGAUUGAAGAUUUUUAUGUGAUAUUUUCUAUUAAAAUUUCAUUAAUAAUCAUUAAGGUUUAAUACUAAAUAAUAAAUUAUAUUAAUUAUUAUUAUUAUUAUUAUUAUUAUUAUUAUUAUUAUUAUUAUUAUGAAAUAAGUUAAACAAAGACAAAUGUAUGGUAGUGAUUUAAUACAAAUGUAUUGAUAAAAGUAUAUACAUUUGUAAUAAUUAUAUUAAAUUAUUAGAUAGAUAUUUAUUAGAUAAAUAAUUAAAUUAUAAGAUUUUUUUGUGUGAUAAAUAAAAUAAAUGAUGACAAAUGUAUGGUAUAGAUGAUAUUGUACAUUUGUAAUAUUAUUAUUUGUUGUUAAAUAGAUUUUUAUUAAAUAAAUAAGAUAAUUGACAAAUAAAUGGUAUAAAAUUUAUACAAGUGUAAUAAAAUAAAUAUGUACAAAUGUAAUUAAACAAUUGAUUUACUUAAUAUUUAAGCAUAAGAUAUUUUAUAUUGAUAUUAUAUUAAUGAUUUAGUAAUUAAAAAAAAACAACAAAAGAAAUAAAGUAAAGUAAGUAAAAAUUAAAGAAACAAAAAAAAGAAACAAAAGAAGAACAGAAACAGAGAAUGAAACGAAAACAGGGGAAGAAAAAGGGAAAGGAAAAAAAAAGGGGAAAAUUUGGAUUUUAAAGCUUCAAGUUUAAUUGGUAAGCUAAAUUUAGCCCUUUUCUCUUAAUUUUGAUGUUUUAAAAGCUUUAAAACAAAGUUUUGUUGAAAUUGAGUGGAGGUUAUGUAAGUUCAUAGGUUUUUGAACAUGAUUCAUGUUGAACAAGUUGUUAAAUUAGGGGUUUAGUUGAUAGAAUUUCUAGUUAGAAUCGAUAAAAGGAUUAAAUUGUAAACUAGGCUAUAAGUUUUACAUAGUUGGGAUUAAGUUAUAAGAAGUCUUAAAUUAGGGUUUAAUUAUGAAUAUUGAAUAGUUGAGUUAAAUAUGGCAAGAAAUUAAGUAGAAAAGAAGUAUGAAUUAAGCUAGAAAAGUAAGUAAGCUCAGUUAGAAUUAAAUUGGGAAUAAGUAGGAAUUGAAUAAAAUUUAAUUAUUAUUAUUAUUUUUUAUAAUUUAAUGCUGUAAUUAAUAGUGAAAAUAAUUAUUAUUUUCGUAGCUAAUAAAGAACUUGAGGCAUCGACAUCGAAAGGAAAGGAGAAAGCUAUCGAGGACUAAAACGGGCGAUUUACGGUUUGUAUUACUAUAAUUCAAAUUAUUUAUUAUUUAAUGCUAUAUUUAAAUUUAUAUGUAUGGUAAGUGAAAUAUAAGGUAAGUAUUAUUAUUAAGUUGAAAGAAAUUCAAUUGAAUGAUGAAUAUAUGUGUGGAAUUGAAAUGAAUAUUGACUUGAAAAUGGAAAAGUGAAUUUUGAAUUAAAUUGUGAUUGAAAGUGAAAAAGUGAAAUUGAAUUGAAAUGUGAAUUUGGAGAUCCUAUUAACUAGUCGAGCUGAGUCGGAUAUAGUUGGCAUGCCAUAGGAUUGAAAGAGUUCAGGGAUACUUCGACCUCGAGUCGAUGAGACACUGGGUGUCACUAUAUUUCUUCGGAUAGAUUUGAUGAGGUAUUGGGUACCAACUUUCUUCGGCUUUGCCGAUGAAACACUGGGCGUCAACUAUUGCUUUGAACUAUCCGAUGAGGUACUGGGUUCCAUACUGGAGUGUUUGGUUGGAUCCGUGUAUCCGUCAAAGUUCGAGUUUUGUUAAUAGGGUAAAUAAUGAAAUGAUAAACUGAAUGAGUUGAUCAAUCGAGCUAUUGAAAUGAAAUGAAAAGUUGAAUUGUGAAUUGAAAUGUGAUAUGAGAUUGAGAAAUGAAUCUAAGGUUCAUGAUGUGUCCAAGUUCCAAAUUGUGGAUAUAUGAUAUUAAUUGAUGAAUUGUUGUUGUAGAAAUAUGAAAUUUGAGUUUAAAUUUGUAUGUAUGAUUUUAUGCAUUACAUGUUUAUUAAUAUUAUAAUUUGAAUUAUGGUAAUACCUUUGAGUAUGAAAUACUCAGCGUACGGUUGUUUCUAUGCGCAGGUCAUUAGAGUUCAAUGUCCAGUUCAGCAUCCAGAAAGAUCCCGACUCCAUCAAGAAAAUUUUGGUAAUGUGUUUCUUCCUUUUGUUUAAGUGACAUGUACUAGGUGAUUGUACACGAGUCGUAUAUAUAUAUGUAAAUAUAUAUGCUAAAUGAUCUUGGUUGUAAAUAAAUGGUUAUAAUCUUUUGGAUGAUAAAUAAAGUUUAAAGUUAUAAAUUAGUAAACUUAGUAUUAAAUCUUGAAAUGAAAUGAAAGAUAUGAAAUUUUUUUUUUUACAUGUUAACUUUAACCUUUUAUAAUUAAAGUAGUAAAUCAAUUUAUUAAGCAUGAUUUAGUAGCAUUUUAAAGUAUAAAAUCAUUGAUUGAAAUAUUGCUAUUGGUUUGUUUUUGGUUUUAAGUUUGCAGGGGUUUUAUGUAAAAAUAAGCAGAAAUAUUGUCGAAAUUUAAAAAAAAUAAAAAAUGAAUGAAGCCAAUUAGCCUAAAUUUAUAUGAAUUUAUGAUUCUUUUAUAUAUGUUUGUUAUUUAUCUAAGAAUUAUUUGUAAAUUGUUCAAGAUGUCCAGUAAUGCCUCGUAACCCUGUUUCAGUGACGGUUUAGGGUUAAGAGGUGUUACAUCGUUACUUUUGAAUACAAAAUAUAUAACUUUUGUCAAAUAUAUGUAGAAAAUUGAACCAAAAAAAAAACAAGAGUACCACAUUAGAAAAAAGUGUCAAACUCAAGUACCAAAUUAUGCAUUAAAUUAUUUUAUUACAAGAUAUUGUUUAAUUAUAAAUUUUAAUAUUUAAAUUAAAAACGAGUUUUGUUUGGUGGGAUGUUUUCUUACUGCUAGUGUGGUCCACUUUCCGACGAUGAAGAAUACAUUGGCAAAUUUGUGGCAUCCUUUAAGGUGUGUGCAAAUCUCGAAUAUGGGAGAGAAUAGAUAUUUGUUUAGAUUUUUCAAUAAGGUGGACAUUGAUAUGGUGAUUAAUGGAGCACCAUGGGCUUUCAAUAAUCAUUUGUUAGUGUUCCAUCAUUUGGCUAUUAAUGAAGAUCCCAUGCAAGUACCAUUGCUUUUUCGUGGUUUUGGGUUCAAGUACAUGAUAUUUCCCUAGGAUUUUUCUUUGAAGCAGUGGCAAGAUAGUUUGGUAAUUUUAUUUGAGAAUUUUUCAGAUUAUGAUUUGAAGCAUAUUUCGGGAGGUGUUAGUCAAUAUUUGCAAAUAAGAGUUAAAUUAAAUGUGAGAUCCCUAUUGAAAAGAAGGACGAAAAUUUAGGUUUUCUUAUCAAGUUUCAUAUAUGCGAGAUUUCAGUAUGAAAAAAGCACAUUCUAUUUCAUAUGUGGCCGUUUAGGGCAUGGAGAAACUUUUUGUCUAGUUAGGUUUGUCAUACCCCAAGUUUGGUGGAUCCGAAUUAUGGCAUAGAGUUGUAAGGAUUAUUUAUUUGACGUAUUAUAGUUCGCCAUGUUUGGUCUUUUGGCGAGUACGAUUGGGUGUAAUGUACCUGCCGUUUAGGAGGUUAAAUAUUUUUGUCUCAAAUUAUUAAGUGAUUCUAGUAAAGGAUACUGCCAAAUGUUUAACACCGUAGUUUGUCUGAGCAUUGUGCUAGUUAAGUUGAACAUGAUCUGGUUAAGAAUCAACUAGAUUGGCUGGUCAAAUAUUUAUUGAGAAAUGACUUUCAUUUAUGUUUCUCUUAGAACCUGUAGGCCAUUAAGAAGGACAGUUCUAAAUGUAUUAACAUCUGUUAAGUUCCUACACUAAAUGUAUUGACAUCUGUUAAGUUCCCGCAGGUUGAAUGGGUUAUAUAUAUGGGUGAGAAGGGUCUAUUGAGAAUUCUUCUUCUAUUUCUUCCUUCAAUAUUGUUCUCUGUUUCUUCAAGUUAAGUGCUAUUUCAAUCUCUUCAAGUUAGAUGUUAAGAUGCUGGGAUUACUUAGAGGUCACUCUAUCUCUUAGUAAGUAAUAUGGCUUUGCAUGUUAAGUUUUGAAGGAUUUAUGGUGUUAAGAGUUUAAUGAGCAGUAGGCCUAAAACAAGGUCUUGCAUGGAGUUUAUCUAUGACUGAGAUGUUGAAAAUUUGUGUAUAAGGAUUUUAAUGGUGAAAUUGUGUUCUUUGAGUAGCUGUUGCUGCUAGGCCAAGAAAGAUGUUCGAGUUUAGAGCUUUGAACUACAGUUGGUGAGUAUCAGGUGAGUGUUUAUCUUGACUCUUGCAUGUUUACUGUUUAGAUAUAAACAAGCAUAAGUGAUAAUGAUAUCUUUGAAGAUUGUUAAGAAUGUGAAAAAUAAAUGAUGAUAUAUGUGGUUAUGAUGGAAUGUAUAAAACUCGGUGUGAAUAGAAUGUUGUUCGUAAGUAUAUAUGUAAGAAUCAAAUAAGUAUGAAUAAUUUGUGAAGUGGGGUUGGAGUAACAUUCUUUUGUGAUGCCUCUGGUAUGAAAGGUAUAUUGCUAACUAGACUGAUAUAUCACAAUAUGAGUGUAUGUGUAAGAUCAUGUGGUGGAAACCCAUGACACUAUGAUAUGAAAACACCCAUGGUGUAACCUCUAGUGAAACAUAGUCUGGAUUGGCAGGUCACGAUACAUGAAGUGAAUAAGUCCAUGUGUUUGAGCCCAUGGCAAGAUGUGUUUGUAUGAAUACUUAUGGUGAUGCCUCCGUUAUGAUAAAAACUGGACUGGCAGAUCACGUCAUAAGGUUUAAGUAUAAGACCAUGACUAAGGAACCAUGACAUCUUCUGUGAAAGUCCGUCGGGACAGCAAACACGUGAUUCUAAAUGUGUCUUAUAUGUGUUGAACAUGGACUGCAAUGCAACAAUAGGCCAAGGAGCAGACCAGCUGCUGUAGAAGAUCAGAACUCGGUCAAAGCUAGAAGCAGCUUGGUUCAUUUUGUUUCUUUUGUUUCUUUUGAUUAUUUUGUAAUGCUAUUCAAGCUAAAAUGUAACUAGACUUUAGAGUUGUUAGGAUAUGAAUUUGACAGAUGUAAUGGCUGAAUUAUUCAGCUUUUCAAUUUGUAUUAUUUUGUAUUUCAAGUUACUAAAAUUGAUGGGAGCAGUUACAUAAGUUAGGUAACUGUCAUACUAUUUUUGUAACAUUUAUAUUUCAAGGCUUUAAUGAAAAUUUUGAAUUGAGCCUAAUCGGUUACUCUUUAUUUUGUGUUUCAAUUUUGUUCCUUCGUAUUGCUUGCUGUUUGUGAGCUUAUGCUCAAGAAAGUUUCAUGUUUAUUAUGUUUGCUGCUGUCAUUUUAUCCAACAAAUGGUAAUCAGAGCCUCUUAUCUUUGAGGACCUCUAUUGCUUAUGUUUUAGUUUUCAAAAACAAAGUUAGUAUCGUGCUUGCAAAGUCAGUUUCAGCAGCAUGAGUUUUGCACCUCCUCCACCACCAGUUUUUGCUGGAGACAACUACCAUAUUUGGGUUCUCAAGAGGAAGACAUAUCUUCAAGCACUUGACCUCUGGAGUGCAGUCGAGAGUGAUGUCGAGCCAGCACCUUUAAGAGCAAAUCCUACCAUUGCUCAGAUUAGGCAACAUGGUGAGGAACGAGCUAAGAAACACAAAGCUAUGGCCUAUUUGCAGAAUGGAGUGUCAGAUGUUAUCUUCACUCACAUUAUGGCCUGUGAUUCCCCUAAGCAGGCAUGGGACAGGCUUAAAGAGGAGUUUAUGGGAUCGGAUAAGACCAGGUAGCAACAAGUCAUCAACUUGAGAAGGGAGUUUGAAAAUUUAAAGAUGAAGGAGUCAGAAACCAUUAAACAGUAUUCUGACAGGAUAAUGGCUACUGUCAAUAACAUAAGACUCCUAGGAGAGGAUUUUAGUGAUAGUAGAGUGGUUGAGAAGGUGAUCACCACUCUUCCAGAGAGGUUUGAAUAAAAAAUCUCCUCACUAGAGGACUCGAGGGAUCUUACAACCAUUUCCUUGUCUGAAUUGGUUAAUUCUCUCUAUGCACUCGAGCAGAGGAGAGCUAGCAGACAGGAGGAGAACCCUGAAGGAGCCUUUCAAGCAAGAACCAGAGAAGGUUCUAGCUCAAACCAGAGAGCUAAGAAACCUUGGUUUGAGAGAAGAGACAGAGCAAAGAAAGAAACUAACAGAGAAGCAGGCAGAAGGAGGUUUCCACCAUGCAUUCACUGCAAGAAGACCAAUCACUUGGAGAAGUUUUGCUGGACUAGACCAGACAUACAGUGCAAAAGCUGUAAGCAGUAUGGCCAUCAUGAGAAAAUUUGUAGAAGUUAUGAGAAGGCUCAAGCUCAACCAGCAGAAGCCAAGACUGCUGAGGAUACACAAGCUCAAGAGGAGCAUGUGUUCACUGCUUCAUGUUUUGCAGUUGACAGCAAAUGCAGUUGGCUUGUGGACAGUGGUUGCUCGCACCACAUGGCUGCUGAUGAGAGGUUGUUCAAGGAUCUUGACAAGAGCUAUGUCUCAAGGGUCAGGAUUGGCAAUGGCAACUUGAUUGAAGCAAAGGGCAGAGGUGAUGUGGUGAUUCACACUGGUUCAGGUAACAAAAUUAUCUCAGAUGUGCUUUAUGUGCCUGAAAUUGAUCAGAAUCUGCUUAGUGUAGGCCAGUUAGUCAAGAAAGGCUAUUCACUAGUUUUCAAGAAUGAUUCCUGUGUUAUAAGUGAUGCUCAUGGUAGGGAGAUAGUCUCGGCACCUAUGGUAGACAAAUGCUUCAUGCUGGAUGUGAGUCAACUUGAGAAAAGUGCUUACACAAGCUCAGUAGAUGAUACUGAUCUUUGGCACAAUAGGUUUGGCCAUGUUAACCUCAAAUCACUUGAUUUGCUGCACAAAAUGAACAUGACAGAGGACAUGGUGAAGGUUGAUACAAGUGAAAGUGUUUGUGAGGUGUGUCAGCUUGGUAAGCAGACCAGGCUACCAUUUUCAGCAAACCAGGCAUGGAAGGCUCGAGACAGACUUGAAUUGGUGCACUCAGAUGUCUGUGGACCAAUGAAGACACCUUCACUGAAUGGCAGCAAGUGCUUUGUUUUGUUUAUUGAUGAUUUGACCAGAUUUUGUUGGGUGUACUUCGUGAAACAGAAGUCAGAUGUAUUUGACAUGUUUGUGAAGUUCAAGGCUUGGGCAGAAAAUCAAGCAGGCUGCAAGAUCAAGGCCUUGAGGACAAACAAUGGUACAGAGUACUUGUCUGAAAAAUUUCAGAAGCUGUGUGAGCAAGCUGGAGUUCAUCAUCAGUUGACUACAGUCUACACUCCUCAACAAAAUGGAGUGAGUGAGAGGAAGAACAGGACUGUGAUGAACAUGACAAGGUGUUUGCUGUUCCAAAGCAAGCUUCCAGGCAUUUUUUGGGCUGAGGGUGUCAAUACCUCAGUUUAUUUGCUCAAUAGGCUACCUACACAUGCUGUGAAGGACAAGACCCCUUUUGAAGCAUGGUAUGGUCUCAAACCUGUUGUUUCACAUUUAAAAUUGUUUGGUUGCAUAUGUUAUGUGCUUAUACCAGCAGAAAGGAGGACCAAACUUGAGAAGAGGUCAAUUGCUGGCAUAUUUGUUGGCUACAGUGGCUGCAAGAAGGGCUACAGGAUAUUUGACCCCUCGACCAAGAAGAUUUUGGUAAGUAGGGAUGUUAAAUUUGAUGAAUCAAGAUUUUGGGACUUUGAUGGUUCAGAUCCAAGUCCAUUUGAAGAAGAGGAAGGUGAUAGCAACUUGGAAUUGGCAGAAAGAGAGGCCAGUAAUGCCAAUGUUGAUGAUGCUCCUGUGAGAGGGACCAGGUCCAUUGCUGACAUCUAUCAGAGAUGCAAUGUGGCCAUUGUUGAACCCUCAAAUUAUGAGGAGGCUGCUAGAAGCAAGAGCUGGAGGGAAGCUAUGGAGGCUGAAAUUGAAAUGAUCCACAAGAAUGAUACUUGGGAUCUAGUAGACAGACCUGAACAGAGAAAAGUCAUUGGUGUCAGGUGGGUUUACAAUGCAAAGUUCAAUGCAGAUGGCUCUUUGAACAAGCACAAGGCAAGGCUUGUGGUGAAAGGGUAUAGCCAACAGGCUGGCAUUGAUUUUAAGGAGACUUUUGCUCCAGUAGCAAGGCUGGACACUAUCAAAUUACUGUUUGCCUUGGCUCCACAGAAGCACUGGAAGCCUUCUUGAAUGGCUUCCUUAAGGAGGAGAUAUAUGUGGAACAACCUGAUGGAUUCAAAGUCCAAGGAAUGGAGGACAAGGUUUACAGGCUAAAUAAGGCAUUUUAUGGUUUAAAACAGGCUCCUCGAGCCUGGUAUGACAGAAUUGAUGAGUAUCUGUCCAAACUCAACUUUGAGAAAAGCUUGAGUGAACCAACUUUUUUUGUGAAGAAGUCCAAUGAUGAGACACUGUUGAUUGUGUCAAUUUAUGUAGAUGACCUGCUGGUUACUGGAAGCAAAAUUGAACUGAUUCAAGAGUUCAAGGAGAAAAUGCAGAUUAUGUUUGAAAUGACAGACUUGGGAAUUAUGAGCUAUUUCCUUGGUAUGGAAGUGUGUCAGACUGACUAAGCUAUUUUCAUUGGCCAACAUACUUUUGCAUCAAAGUUACUCACUAGAUUUCACAUAGAAAAUUGCAAACCAGUGAGUACUCCUCUGGUUAUAGGCCAGAAGUUGAGCAGCUAUGGAGAUGAAGAAAAAGUGGAUGAAAGGGAGUACAGAAGCUUAAUUGGAUGUUUGCUAUACUUGACAGCAACUAGACCUGACCUUAUGCAUUCGGUCAGCUUACUAUCUCGUUUCAUGCAUAGCUGCAACACAUCACAUUUGAAGGCAGCAAAGAGGAUCCUCAGGUAUGUGAAAGGAACUUUGAAGUUUGGAGUGAUAUUCAAGCCAGGAAGUAAGCUUAAGCUAACUGGCUACUCAGACAGUGACUGGGGAGGUUCGAUUGAUGAUAUGAGGAGUACCUCGGGCUAUCUUUUUACACUUGGUUCGGGGGCUUUCUGUUGGAGCUCUAAAAAGCAACAAACUGUUACUCAAUCAACUGCAGAGGCAGAGUACAUAGCAGUAGCUGGAGCAGUAAGCCAGGCUAUUUGGCUUAGAAAAUUGCUAUGCGAUUUGAAUGAGGAGCAAUUUGAACCUACUGAGAUUAUGGUUGAUAAUCAAUCAGCAAUUGCUAUCUCAAAGAAUGCUGUUUUUCAUGGAAAAACAAAACAUUUUAAACUUAAAUUCUAUUUUGUUCGAGAGGCAGUGCAAGCAAAGGAUGUAAGUCUUGCAUAUUGUAACUCACAAGACCAAUUGGCUGACAUUUUGACAAAGCCUCUUGGUGCAAUGAGGUUUGAACUUCUGAGGGAAUCAAUUGGUGUUUGUUGCCUACAGUCCAAGGAGGAGUGUUGAACAUGGACUGCAAUGCAACAAUAGGCCAAGGAGCAGACCAGCUGCUGUAGAAGAUCAGAACUCGGUCAAAGCUAGAAACAGCUUGGUUCAUUUUGUUUCUUUUGAUUAUUUUGUAAUGCUAUUCAAGCUAAAAUGUAACUAGACUUUAGAGUUGUUAGGAUAUGAAUUUGACAGAUGUAAUGGCUGAAUUAUUCAGCUUUUCAAUUUGUAUUAUUUUGUAUUUCAAGUUACUAAAAUUGAUGGGAGCAGUUACAUAAGUUAGGUAACUGUCAUACUACUUUUGUAACAUUUAUAUUUCAAGGCUUUAAUGAAAAUUUUGAAUUGAGCCUAAUCGGUUACUCUUUAUUUUGUGUUUCAAUUUUGUUCCUUUGUAUUGCUUGCUGUUUGUGAGCUUAUGCUCAAGAAAGUUUCAUGUUUAUUAUGUUUGCUGCUGUCAUUUUAUCCAACAAUAUGGCAUGAUCAACUAAGCCUUUGUGGCAUAUUUUGUUUGGUCCUUGUGGAGUGUUCGACCAAGUCUUCAUGAGAAAUGAUGAUUAUCUGUCUUCUUUAUGGUAAGUCCUGGAUGUAUUCUGGGUAUGUUGUGAUAUGAUCAAGGUUAAAAUGAGUCGAAUUAAGCCUAUGAAGUAAUCAAAUAAGUUCAUUAAAGAAUAUUUUUGGAAAAGAAUUGUGUAUCUGUUUGUCUAAAGAAUGGGGAAUAUGCCUCGAUAAUGUGCUAGCAUAGAAAAAGUGUAUUUGUGGUUAUGGAGCUAUGAGAAAUUGGCAGUUGGAGUUCUAAUGAGCUGUAUAGUGUUGAAAUCGGGGUACAUGAUAUCCACCAUAUUUGAUUAGCAUCUCAUUCGAUUCUAGAAUUUCAAAGUAAAUACUCUAUUUGUUAAUUCAGGUUAUUACGUAUUUGUUGUAAGAGGUACAAAGAACUCUUUGAUUGAUUUGGUUAGUUAGUUAUCAGUGUGAUAUUGUGUUGGGUAUUGAAUUAGAAUAUAGAAUGAAGGAAAAACUGAUAAUAUUCAACUCAACGUGGGAAUCCGCCAAAUAUGUAAGUAUCUGCCAGUGAAUUGUAUGGCGUCUCACUCAAGAAUCUUAUAAAAUUGGAGCUAUUCGUCAUGUUGGGUUGUUGUGCGAUGAAUUAACCUGAAGGUCUCAAAUGAUCCAUAAUUAAUAUAAGUAUGUGUUGAGCUUAAGUUAGGAAAUAAUUUAUCUUUCAAAAAGGGUAUGGAAAUAUUGUAAAUCAUUCAGGUAGUUAAUAGAGUAUGAGUAUGAUAAGAGUGGUGUGUUUGGUAUAUAGGAAGUGUAGUCCAGGUAUUAGUGAUUGAUACAUGACAGAAUCAUUCAAACACCAUAGGAGAUACUUGAAAGAGUAGGAUCUUACAUUGGUGAACUCGAUGCUCUUAGAACCAGUUAUCUGCAAAUAUAAUGGAGUUAGAGAGAUGGAAUCCUCCGGGUAGGGGUUGGUUUAAGAUUAAUUAUGAUGUAGCUUUUCAAAAUCACUAGUUGAGAUCAUUUACAUGGAUUAUCAUUAGAAAUCAUUAAUGGGGCACUCUUGUAUCCUCAAUAAUACAGAACAAGCACAUGCCUAUUGAGUUUGCGGCGAAGGCUCUUGCAUGCCUUCAAGAUUGGGGCUAGAUCUGGAACUCCAAGACGUUAUUCUUGAAGCCUUGAAGGGAUGCUCUAACGGUGGAUAAAAACUGCUGUACAAAAAUAGAGAUGGAUCAGUUAUCGGUGCAUUCAUUGAAGAGUCAAAUCCCCUAAGUCAAAGUUUAAAUCCCCUUCUAGCUUGUUAAUAAGAAGCAGAAACCAAAAUUGUAGAGUGAAAGAAUGUUAGAACAUUGGUAGCAGCAAAAUAAGAGAACAGAGAGCACAGAACAAUGAAGCAAGAUAAGCAAGAUAAGCAAGAUGCAAGAGGUAUUUUUACUUGCUCACAAAUGUGCAGCAAUGGAGCUUAUAGCUGAUAGCUCAUUCAGCUCAUUCGUUCAACUAGAAAAACAAUACAUUUAUAGUCAAAUACAUUACCAAAUACUACCUACUACCACUAAGUAGCCUAAUAACUUGAUAAACAUUGCUUGUGCACAUAAACAAGCCACCUAAACUAGUCAUUCAACACUUAACGUAUUAAGUUGUCAUCAACUUGUUCAUUUUCAACUAGUUUAAUUAGAAUGAAACUAAAGAGAAAACCUUGCUAUUACAGCAAGCAUACGUGCUGCAGCAUGUCAUCAAGCUGCAUGCACUUCAACCAAAAAAUGUAACAGUAGCAUGGUUGGCCAGUUUCCAACACUCCUCCUUGGACUCCAUGUCGCAAAUACCAAUCAUUCAUCAAGUUUUUUGAACUUGGCAAUCCUUAGAUGCUUUGUUUCAAGCUGACUCUGUUCAAGCAUUUCAUUUUCAACCUUGGCUUCAUUCUCAACCAAAUCUGACUUGCACACUUGACUAUCCCAAUCUUUUGUGCCAAAGAUUUGUUCAUCAAAUAGAGUCUUCUCCUCAUUCACAUCCUUGGUUGAGAACUUGCCUUCAAACACAUCUCUUCUUUCUUGCCUUGUUUCUUUGUUCAUUACAAUCCUGUUUCUUCUUGCACAAACAGUUCGUGAGUAUAGUUUGCUUGCAUUCAGUCUGCCAUUUUGGCUUGCAAUUUGACAGGCUCACACUUUGCUUACUGUCUUUAACAAGCUCGCACUUUGCUUACUGUCUUCAACAGGCUUGCAAGUAUACAGGGCUCUCACCUUUUGAUGAGCUUGCACCACUUGCUGAGCUCAUAGCUCACACUUCUCACUGAGCCAGCAGCUUUGACAUCUUGCUAAGCUUGCACCUUGCACAUUUUUGCUGAGGUUGCAGCUUGCACAUUGGAAAGCUCACAUAAUUUCCUUGAAACUCCUCCUUCAGCUUAUUCAAGCUUGUUUGGGGGUCUCAUAAGGUUGAGUUGAUGCUGUCUUCUCUACAAGCAGUCCUUAAUGACUUGCUUGUGCUUUGACAGCUUCUUUUUUUUUAACAAGCUGCGGAAGUAAAAUCAAUGGCCCUCUAAAACUUAAGCUCAUGAUACCAAUUGUUGGAACAUUGUUAGCAUCAAAAUAAGAGAACAGAGAGCACAGAACAAUGAAGCAAGAUGCAAGAAGUAUUUUUACUUGCUCACAAAUGUGCAGCAAAGGAGCUUAUGGUUGAUAGCUCAUUCAGCUCAUUCAUUCAACUAGAAAAACAAUACAUUUAUAGUCAAAUACAUUACCAAAUACUACCUACUACCACUAAGUAGCCUAGUAACUUGAUAAACAUUGCUUGUACACAUAAACAAGCCACCUAAACUAGUCAUUCAACACUUAACGUAUCAAGUUGUCAUCAACUUGUUCAUUUUCAACUAGUUUAAUUAGAAUGAAAUUAACCUCUGAUUCUUUUAUAAUUUACAAUUGUUGACUUUUUUUGUCAGGUUUUUUACUCUCAAAUAUGCCGCAGAUGCUGCCUGCACUGUGUUGCGUGUAGAUCAGGUAAUUUACUAGAGGCAGAAAGCUUGAAAAUGAAAAUCGUACUUAAAAUAGUUUGCUGAUGGAAUUAGAUUCUCAUGCAAAGCUGUAUUUGUUGCUUAGGAUCGCAUAUGUAUUUCAUUUUCCAAACAUUUUCUUCCACUAAGCUCAGUCAUACCGUUGAUUCAAUGUUUGCAGAUUAUCAUGGCGAAACCAGCUGGAGGUCCAGCGAGGAGAGAUCAACCGGCAGGAAUGGAUGAUGACUAAAUCUUGCAUGGUACGAUUGAUUUCCCAUCUCUUGUAUCUCACCACCCAUAUUCAGACUUUGUUUAGGCAUCUAUUUUAUUAUUAUUAUUAUUUUUUCUUUUUAGAUGCUAAAACUAGCUUGAAAGAAUUUUGCAUGUGAUUUUAGAAUGUUUACAGUGGGGAGUAGUGGUGAUCUAUGUUUUUAGCGUAUUACCCUAACCUAUAUUAGGGCCUGGGGUAGGGAGUUAGAAGAUCGUCUCAUUCAUCUCUUUCUCGAUUUUGCAUGGAUGUUGGUUAUAUCAUAGCCUAUUUUACACGAACCCAUUCAUUUUCUCUUAGUACCUAUAUUUAACACUUAUGUUUGAUACAUAUCUAGAUAUGUAUAUAAAGGGAUUACAUCAGUUUCGACUGAAUAAGUUUGUUUGAACAGACUUUAUAAAAGGGAUUACAUCAGUUUGGGUC
This 40082-nucleotide long non-coding RNA is filed under the name Gossypium raimondii (Peruvian cotton). Its description in RNAcentral is "long non-coding RNA (GRAI_LNC005950)". Lineage: Eukaryota; Viridiplantae; Streptophyta; Magnoliopsida; Malvales; Malvaceae. The record is from RNAcentral.